UUGCCCAAAUGUAUUACUUCUUCACAUGGUUCUUUCUCUAUCUUGCUCUCCCUCUGUCUCUCUCUCACACAGAGAAUCAAUCACUCGUACUACCCUCUCGGCUCCCUUGAAUCGAUUGUGAACCCGGUUCAACCCACCUUGGCCACUGAGGACAUGGAAGCCGAACGCUUCACAUUAAACAUUUCUAGGGUUAAUGGGUCGGUGGCGAUCGAUACAGGAAUCCGAUACGAAGCGGCUGGGAAUGGCGUACAGAGAUUCGUUCUUGCUCUUUGUUGUAUAGCAUUGCAUCUAUAGCAAGACCUCAUUUUAAUCCAUUCAAGAAGGAUCAUGGAGCUCCUUCAUUGUUGCUGGCCCAGAUGGGGUUGCAGAGAUUAUGAUUAAAGACAUGCUGGUAUAUUAAGAGCAAUUUCCUUCAUUCCAAAAUUGUUACUUUUUGUUUCAUAAUGAUGACGAAAGAAAAGAGGAUUUAAUUGAUGUCAUAUUCUGUUAAUUUGAUUAUUGACCUACUACACACAGUAAGGGAUUAAACUUGUUUCAAUU
This is a non-coding RNA of Camellia sinensis, 540 nucleotides long. The record is from RefSeq and is a predicted model, not a curated record. NCBI's taxonomy places the organism in Eukaryota, Viridiplantae, Streptophyta, Magnoliopsida, Ericales, Theaceae.